RNAcentral lists this ribosomal RNA (1240 nucleotides) under metagenome. RNAcentral's name for it is "bacterial LSU rRNA". It matches the Rfam family "Bacterial large subunit ribosomal RNA", at positions 1564 to 2815 of the family's 2925-position model. The record is from RNAcentral.
UGAAUACGAGAUGCUACGGCGUCGAAGCAGUCUAUGUCAUACUUCCAAGAAAAGCUUGCACUGUCAUAAACAAAUAAUGCCUGUACCAUAACCGACACAGGUGGGUAGGUAGAGUAUACUAAGGGGCGCGAGAUAACUCUCUCUAAGGAACUCGGCAAAAUGACUCCGUAACUUCGGGAGAAGGAGUGCCUUAUUUAUAAGGUUGCAAUAACAAGAUCCAAGCAACUGUUUACCAAAAACACAGGUCUCCGCUAAGUCGUAAGACGAUGUAUGGGGGCUGACGCCUGCCCAGUGCCAGAAGGUUAAAGAAGUUGGUUAGCAUCCGCGAAGCUGAUAACUGAAGCCCUGGUGAACGGCGGCCGUAACAAUAACGGUCCUAAGGUAGCGAAAUUCCUUGUCGGGUAAGUUCCGACCCGCACGAAAGGCGUAAUGAUUUGGAUACUGUCUCGGAGAGGGGCUCGGUGAAAUAGACUUGUCUGUGAAGAUGCGGACUACCUGCACCAGGACAGGAAGACCCUAUGAAGCUUUACUGUAACCUGAAAUUGAAAUUGGACUUUACUUGCGCAGUAUAGGUGGGAGGCGUUGAGAAUAUUCUUGCGGGAUUAUUGGAGCCAUCAGUGAGAUACCACUCUUGUAAUGUUAGAUUUCUAACUUUGUAUCAUUAUCUGGUCAAAGAACAGUUUCAGGCGGGCAGUUUGACUGGGGCGGUCGCCUCCUAAACGGUAACGGAGGCGCACAAAGGUUUCCUCUGAACGGGUAGAAAUCGUAUCUAGAGUGUAAGGCAUAAGGAAGCUUGACUGUGAGACCUACAAGUCGAGCAGGGACGAAAGUCGGUCUUAGUGAUCUGACGGUGCUGAGUGGAAAGGCCGUCACUCAACGGAUAAAAGUUACUCUAGGAUAACAGGCUGAUCUCCCCCAAGAGUUCACAUCGACGGGGAGGUUUGGCACCUCGAUGUCGGCUCAUCGCAUCCUGGGGCGGUAGUACGUCCCGAGGGUUGGGCUGUUCGCCCAUGAAAGCGGUACGCGAGCUGGGUUCAGAACGUCGUGAGACAGUUCGGUCCAUAUCCGGUGUAGGCGUUAGAAUAUUGAGAGGAGCCUUCUUUAGUACGAGAGGACCGAGAAGGACAUACCUCUGGUGUACCAGUUAUCGUGCCAACGGUAAACGCUGGGUAGCUAUGUGUGGAGUGGAUAACCGCUGAAAGCAUCUAAGUGGGAAGCCCACCUCAAGAUAAGUAUUCGC